GGUUAAGCGACUAAGCGUACACGGUGGAUGCCCUGGCAGUCAGAGGCGAUGAAGGACGUGCUAAUCUGCGAUAAGCGUCGGUGAGGUGAUAUGAACCGUUAUAACCGGCGAUUUCCGAAUGGGGAAACCCAGUGUGUUUCGACACACUAUCAUUAACUGAAUCCAUAGGUUAAUGAGGCGAACCGGGGGAACUGAAACAUCUAAGUACCCCGAGGAAAAGAAAUCAACCGAGAUUCCCCCAGUAGCGGCGAGCGAACGGGGAGGAGCCCAGAGCCUGAAUCAGUGUGUGUGUUAGUGGAAGCGUCUGGAAAGGCGCGCGAUACAGGGUGACAGCCCCGUACACAAAAAUGCACAUAUUGUGAGCUCGAUGAGUAGGGCGGGACACGUGGUAUCCUGUCUGAAUAUGGGGGGACCAUCCUCCAAGGCUAAAUACUCCUGACUGACCGAUAGUGAACCAGUACCGUGAGGGAAAGGCGAAAAGAACCCCGGCGAGGGGAGUGAAAAAGAACCUGAAACCGUGUACGUACAAGCAGUGGGAGCCUCUUAAUGGGGUGACUGCGUACCUUUUGUAUAAUGGGUCAGCGACUUAUAUUCUGUAGCAAGGUUAACCGAAUAGGGGAGCCGAAGGGAAACCGAGUCUUAACUGGGCGUUAAGUUGCAGGGUAUAGA
This 669-nucleotide ribosomal RNA is filed under the name Escherichia coli. Its description in RNAcentral is "partial 23S ribosomal RNA". It matches the Rfam family "Bacterial large subunit ribosomal RNA", at positions 1 to 713 of the family's 2925-position model. The record is from RNAcentral. Lineage: Bacteria; Pseudomonadati; Pseudomonadota; Gammaproteobacteria; Enterobacterales; Enterobacteriaceae.